RNAcentral lists this ribosomal RNA (308 nucleotides) under uncultured bacterium. RNAcentral describes it as "partial 16S ribosomal RNA". It matches the Rfam family "Bacterial small subunit ribosomal RNA", at positions 505 to 807 of the family's 1533-position model. The record is from RNAcentral.
GAGACAGCAGUAGCCACGGUAAUACGUAGGGUGCGAGCGUUAAUCGGAAUUACUGGGCGUAAAGCGUGCGCAGGCGGUUUUGUAAGACAGAGGUGAAAUCCCCGGGCUCAACCUGGGAACUGCCUUUGUGACUGCAAGGCUAGAGUACGGCAGAGGGGGAUGGAAUUCCGCGUGUAGCAGUGAAAUGCGUAGAUAUGCGGAGGAACACCGAUGGCGAAGGCAAUCCCCUGGGCCUGUACUGACGCUCAUGCACGAAAGCGUGGGGAGCAAACAGGAUUAGAUACCCGAGUAGUCCCUGUCUCUUAUAC